GGAGGGGUGCCGGAGUGGUUGAACGGGCCGGUCUCGAAAACCGGUGUGUCCGUCAGGGCACCGCGGGUUCGAAUCCCGCCCCCUCCGCCA
This 90-nucleotide transfer RNA is filed under the name Oceanithermus profundus. RNAcentral describes it as "tRNA-Ser". It matches the Rfam family "tRNA". From Rfam's summary of the family: Transfer RNA (tRNA) molecules are approximately 80 nucleotides in length. Their secondary structure includes four short double-helical elements and three loops (D, anti-codon, and T loops). The record is from RNAcentral. Lineage: Bacteria; Thermotogati; Deinococcota; Deinococci; Thermales; Thermaceae. RNAcentral also lists the same sequence under 2 other names.